AUUGAACGCUGGCGGCAGGCCUAACACAUGCAAGUCGAGCGAGCGGCGGACGGGUGAGUAAUGUCUGGGAAACUGUCUGAUGGAGGGGGAUAACUGCUGGAAAAGGUAGCUAAUCACGCAUACCAUCAGAUGUGCACAGACGGGAUUAGCUAGUAGGGGGGGUAACGGCUCACCUAGGCGACGAUCCCUAGCUGGUCUGAGAGGAUGACCGGCCACACUGGAACUGAGACACGGCCCAGACUCCUACGGGAGGCAGCAGUAGGGAAUAUUGCACAAUGGGCACAAGCCUGAGACAGCCAUGCCGCGUGUGUGAAGAAGGCUUUCGGGUUGUAAAGCACUGUCAGCGGGGAGGCGUUACCCGCAGAAGAAGCACCGGCUAACUCCGUGCCAGCAGCCGCGGUAAUAC
RNAcentral lists this ribosomal RNA (406 nucleotides) under uncultured bacterium. RNAcentral's name for it is "partial 16S ribosomal RNA". It matches the Rfam family "Bacterial small subunit ribosomal RNA", at positions 29 to 526 of the family's 1533-position model. The record is from RNAcentral.